GACGAACGCUGGCGGCGUGCUUAACACAUGCAAGUCGAACGGAAAGGCCCUGCUUUUGUGGGGUGCUCAAGUGGCGAACGGGUGAGUAACACGUGAGUAACCUGCCCUUGACUUUGGGAUAACUUCAGGAAACUGGGGCUAAUACCGGAUAGGAGCUCCUGCUGCAUGGUGGGGGUUGGAAAGUUUCGGCGGUUGGGGAUGGACUCGCGGCUUAUCAGCUUGUUGGUGGGGUAGUGGCUUACCAAGGCUUUGACGGGUAGCCGGCCUGAGAGGGUGACCGGCCACAUUGGGACUGAGAUACGGCCCAGACUCCUACGGGAGGCAGCAGUGGGGAAUAUUGCACAAUGGGCGGAAGCCUGAUGCAGCAACGCCGCGUGCGGGAUGACGGCCUUCCGGUUGUAAACCGCUUUCGCCUGUGACGAAGCGUGAGUGACGGUAAUGGGUAAAGAAGCACCGGCUAACUACGUG
RNAcentral lists this ribosomal RNA (468 nucleotides) under uncultured bacterium. RNAcentral's name for it is "partial 16S ribosomal RNA". It matches the Rfam family "Bacterial small subunit ribosomal RNA", at positions 28 to 507 of the family's 1533-position model. The record is from RNAcentral.